UUAGUCGUAGAACCACUGAUGAAUAAGGGGUGGGCAAGUUCUGGUGUCAGCCGCCGCGGUAAAACCAGCACCUCAAGUGGUCAGGAUGAUUAUUGGGCCUAAAGCAUCCGUAGCCUGUUCUGUAAGUUUUCGGUUAAAUCUAUGCGCUCAACGUAUAGGCUGCCGAAAAUACUGCAGAACUAGGGAGUGGGAGAGGUAGACGGUACUCGGUAGGAAGGGGUAAAAUCCUUUGAUCUAUUGAUGACCACCUGUGGCGAAGGCGGUCUACCAGAACACGUUCGACGGUGAGGGAUGAAAGCUGGGGGAGCAAACCGGAUUAGAUACCCGGGUAGUCCCAGCUGUAAACGAUGCAAACUCGAUGAUGCGUUGGCUUGUUGCUAGCGCAGUGUCGCAGGGAAGCCGUUAAGUUUGCCGCCUGGGAAGUACGUACGCAAGUAUGAAACUUAAAGGAAUUGGCGGGGGAGCACCACAAGGGGUGAAGCCUGCGGUUCAAUUGGAUUCAACGCCGGGAAUC
This 514-nucleotide ribosomal RNA is filed under the name uncultured marine archaeon. Its description in RNAcentral is "bacterial SSU rRNA". It matches the Rfam family "Archaeal small subunit ribosomal RNA", at positions 413 to 926 of the family's 1478-position model. The record is from RNAcentral.